Molecule: ribosomal RNA, 495 nt
Filed under: uncultured bacterium
Lineage: Bacteria
Description: partial 16S ribosomal RNA
Rfam family: Bacterial small subunit ribosomal RNA
Source: RNAcentral
UGACCGCUGGCGGCGUGCCUACUACAUGCAAGUCGAGCGACCAGACGAGGAGCUUGCUCCUCUGACGUUAGCGGCGGACGGGUGAGUAACACGUGGAUAACCUACCUAUAAGACUGGGAUAACUUCGGGAAACCGGAGCUAAUACCGGAUAAUAUAUUGAACCGCAUGGUUCAAUAGUGAAAGACGGUUUUGCUGUCACUUAUAGAUGGAUCCGCGCCGCAUUAGCUAGUUGGUAAGGUAACGGCUUACCAAGGCAACGAUGCGUAGCCGACCUGAGAGGGUGAUCGGCCACACUGGAACUGAGACACGGUCCAGACUCCUACGGGAGGCAGCAGUAGGGAAUCUUCCGCAAUGGGCGAAAGCCUGACGGAGCAACGCCGCGUGAGUGAUGAAGGUCUUCGGAUCGUAAAACUCUGUUAUUAGGGAAGAACAAAUGUGUAAGUAACUAUGCACGUCCUGACGGUACCUAAUCAGAAAGCCACGGCUAACUACGUG